GGAUGCGAUCAUACCGGCACUAAAGCACCGGAUCCCAUCAGAACUCCGAAGUUAAGCGUGCUUGGGCGAGAGUAGUACUUGGAUGGGUGACCUCCUGGGAAGUCCUCGUGUUGCAUUCC
RNAcentral lists this ribosomal RNA (119 nucleotides) under Triticum aestivum (bread wheat). Lineage: Eukaryota; Viridiplantae; Streptophyta; Magnoliopsida; Poales; Poaceae. The record is from RNAcentral.